RNAcentral lists this ribosomal RNA (253 nucleotides) under uncultured bacterium. RNAcentral's name for it is "partial 16S ribosomal RNA". It matches the Rfam family "Bacterial small subunit ribosomal RNA", at positions 524 to 776 of the family's 1533-position model. The record is from RNAcentral.
UACGUAGGGUGCAAGCGUUAAUCGGAAUUACUGUGCGUAAAGCGUGCGCAGGCGGUUUUGUAAGUCUGUCGUGAAAUCCCCGGGCUCAACCUGGGAAUUGCGUUGGAGACUGCAAGGCUAGAAUCUGGCAGAGGGGGGUAGAAUUCCACGUGUAGCAGUGAAAUGCGUAGAGAUGUGGAGGAACACCGAUGGCGAAGGCAGCCCCCUGGGUCAAGAUUGACGCUCAUGCACGAAAGCGUGGGGAGCAAACAGG